RNAcentral lists this small RNA (768 nucleotides) under Pongo abelii (Sumatran orangutan). RNAcentral describes it as "processed transcript". Lineage: Eukaryota; Metazoa; Chordata; Mammalia; Primates; Hominidae. The record is from RNAcentral.
GGGGCCGGGCGGCCCGGGGGGUGACGGGAAGGGAGGCCGGCCCAGCACCGCCCAGCCCCGGGCUCCGGGCGGGAAGUGGGCGAGCGCGGCGGUGCGGGACGCGCGGGCGACGGGCCAGCGGGAUGGGAGCAGGGUCCCCCGGCGGCCCGCAGCCUCUGGAGCCGCGCUGAAGCCGGGGGCGGGACCAGCGCGGAGCCGACAUGUGUCUGCGCCUCGGAGGCCUGAGUGUGGGCGACUUCCGGAAGUUGCUGAUGAAGACAGGCCUGGUGCUGGUGGUGCUGGGCCAUGUGAGCUUCAUCACAGCUGCCCUGUUCCAUGGCACAGUGCUGCGCUACGUGGGCAGCCCCCAAGAUGCGGUGGCUCUGCAGUACUGCGUGGUCAACAUCCUCUCUGUCACUUCCGCCAUCGUGCGCUGGACAGUGUUUAGCUCGAGCGUGGCCUGUGCUCUCCUCUCUCUGACCUGUGCCCUCGGCCUCUUGGCCUCCAUCGCCGUGACCUUUGCCACCCAGGGCAAGGCGCUGCUGGCUGCCUGCACUUUUGGGAGCUCUGAACUACUGGCCCUCGCACCUGACUGUCCCUUCGACCCCACACGCAUUUAUAGCUCCAGCCUGUGCCUCUGGGGCAUCGCCCUAGUGCUCUGCGUGGCGGAGAACGUCUUUGCUCUGCGCUGCGCUCAGCUCACCCACCAGCUGCUGGAGCUGAGGCCCUGGUGGGGGAAAAGCAGCCACCACAUGAUGCGGGAGAACCCAGAGCUGGUGGAGGGCCGUG